RNAcentral lists this non-coding RNA (92 nucleotides) under Hymenobacter roseosalivarius. RNAcentral describes it as "SAM-I sequence". It matches the Rfam family "SAM riboswitch aptamer (S box leader)". From Rfam's summary of the family: The SAM riboswitch is found upstream of a number of genes which code for proteins involved in methionine or cysteine biosynthesis in Gram-positive bacteria. The SAM riboswitch acts at the level of transcription termination control. The record is from RNAcentral. RNAcentral also lists the same sequence under 1 other name. Lineage: Bacteria; Pseudomonadati; Bacteroidota; Cytophagia; Cytophagales; Hymenobacteraceae.
UUUUUAUAAAGAGGCGUGGAGAGACAGGCUCGACGAAACGCCGGCAACCCCCAGCACAACUGGAACGGUGCCAAGUCCUGACCAUAUAAAAA